Molecule: ribosomal RNA, 265 nt
Filed under: uncultured bacterium
Lineage: Bacteria
Description: partial 16S ribosomal RNA
Rfam family: Bacterial small subunit ribosomal RNA
Source: RNAcentral
GUCCACGCCGUAAACGAUGGGCACUAGGUGCUUGGGGGAGCGACCCUCCGAGUGCCGGCGCUAACGCAUUAAGUGCCCCGCCUGGGUAGUACGGCCGCAAGGCUGAAACUCAAAGGAAUUGACGGGGGCCCGCACAAGCGGUGGAGCAUGUGGUUUAAUUCGACGCAACGCGAAGAACCUUACCUGGGCUUUACAUGCACGGGAAACCUCUCAGAAAGGGGAGGCCCUCUUCGGAGUCCGUGCACAGGUGCUGCAUGGCUGUCGU